This 427-nucleotide ribosomal RNA is filed under the name uncultured bacterium. RNAcentral's name for it is "bacterial SSU rRNA". It matches the Rfam family "Bacterial small subunit ribosomal RNA", at positions 355 to 775 of the family's 1533-position model. The record is from RNAcentral.
UGGGGAAUCUUGCGCAAUGGGCGAAAGCCUGACGCAGCGACGCCGCGUGAGGGAAGAAGGCCUUCGGGUUGUAAACCUCUUUCAGGAGGGACGAAGCCACUCGGGUUAAUAGCCCAGAGGGUGACGGUACCUCCAGAAGAAGCCCCGGCUAACUACGUGCCAGCAGCCGCGGUAAUACGUAGGGGGCAAGCGUUGUCCGGAUUUAUUGGGCGUAAAGAGCGUGUAGGCGGCCAGGUAGGUCCGUUGUGAAAACUCGAGGCUCAACCUCGAGACGUCGAUGGAAACCAUCUGGCUAGAGUCCGGAAGAGGAGAGUGGAAUUCCUGGUGUAGCGGUGAAAUGCGCAGAUAUCAGGAAGAACACCCGUGGCGAAGGCGGCUCUCUGGGACGGUACUGACGCUGAGACGCGAAAGCGUGGGGAGCGAACAG